GGAUGUGAGGGUGAUCUGGCUGCGACAUCUGUCACCCCACUGAUCGCCAGGGUUGAUUCGGCUGAUGUGGCUGGCUAGGCGGGUGUCCCCUUCCUCCCUCACCACUCCAUGUGCGUCCCUCCUGAAGCUGUGCGCUUGGUUGAAGAGGAUGGCCUUCCCCAAUAGAGACGGACCUGGUCUUCGGUCGAGGGUAUACGAGUAGCUGCGCUCCCCUGCUAGAAACUCCAAACAAGCUCUCCAUUCAGAUAUAGAGAUAGAGAGAGAAAUAGAGAGGAGAUUGAGGAGACAUCACAGCACCGAUUUUUUUCCCAGUGCUG
This 317-nucleotide small nuclear RNA is filed under the name Erinaceus europaeus (western European hedgehog). Its description in RNAcentral is "7SK RNA". It matches the Rfam family "7SK RNA". Rfam says of the family: 7SK was discovered as an abundant small nuclear RNA in the mid-70s but a possible function has only recently been suggested. Two independent studies have found that 7SK RNA binds the CDK9/cyclin T complex (known as elongation factor P-TEFb). The record is from Rfam by way of RNAcentral. Lineage: Eukaryota; Metazoa; Chordata; Mammalia; Eulipotyphla; Erinaceidae.